This 1476-nucleotide unclassified non-coding RNA is filed under the name Octopus sinensis (East Asian common octopus). RNAcentral describes it as "phospholipid phosphatase-related protein type 1-like, transcript variant X3". Lineage: Eukaryota; Metazoa; Mollusca; Cephalopoda; Octopoda; Octopodidae. The record is from RNAcentral.
AAGACAACACACUUGUCAUUUAUAUCCAACAUCCGAACAUAUAAACAUAUAAUUUUUGUGCGUUUCCAAAGGAUUUUAUAUUGCCUUUUCCAAUGGCCAAUGGAUAAAUUUUUCUGUUUUCUGUGGACCUAUUAUUUUCUAUUGAGAUUCUGCUGUAAAAUAAGAUGCCCUACCCCAAACUACUCUCACAGAGCAGCAACAGCCAGUUGUCCAAAGACAUGGAGGAAAGUGGAAGAGGAGACAAUGAUUCUGAUCUCGGAUCAGAUUCUUCAAGGAAAUCUCGACCAAAUGUUCUCAUUGUCAUCACUUUUGUGCUUGAGCUGAUUAUAUUGGGGAUAAUUGCUACCUUAGCUUACUUUCUCAGAUGGACAAAUGUCUUCCCAAUGCGACGGAACAACUUUUCUUGUAUAGAUGCUGAGCUCUCACAUUCUUCAAAAGAAAGUCUUUUUGUGGAUUUUGCAUUUCAUGCUGAAGUUUCUGAUGAAGCUGUAUAUUCUUUGAGUGUUUGUGUUCCACCAUUUGUGAUAUUAAUAAGUGAAAUAGGUAUGUGGGCCUUCAGUUCUGAACCUCAACGUUCUAUUACUAUUCUCUGUGCUGCCUGCAGGCUUCCACAGAUUAUUCGAAGAAUUUUCCGAUUCAUAGGCGUCUUUCUCUUCGGUGCCAUGGCACUGAUGGUAUUCACAGAUGUCAUCAAAUUAAUGACGGGGCGUUUACGGCCGAAUUUCCUUGAUAUCUGCCAAGUAAAUCGGUCGAAGUGCUUCUUGCAAAAUCAAAGUGGAGGAGAUGAGUUGUGCCUGGUCAAAAAUAUGUUACACCUCCGCAAUGCUCGAACUUCAUUUCCUUCGAUGAAUGCAUGUUUAACUUCAUAUGCAGCUGUCUUCCUUGUGAUCUAUAUACAUUAUGGUGUUGGCACCCACACCUUAAAACUUGUACGAGUAUUCUUGGCCAUGAUAUUCUGUAUGAUGUCUCUACUUUGUGGAUUGGUAGAAAUUGGACUGUUCCGAAGUUACUGGACAGAUGUCGUUGCUGGCUUUGGAAUGGGUGUUCUCAUGGCUGCCUACCUGGGUGGAUUUGUGCUACAUAAUUUCAGUGAACACACAUUGGACAAAAAACUGCUCCGAGCACUGAAAACAUAUUUGUUGCAACAUGGAGGGUCAUCUGGACGUCCAGGGAACAUGAGGUAUGAUCCACUGUUUGGUGGUUCUGGCUUCCAUAUUCCUCGUGUACAUGUCCCGCUGUUUGCCGACGAAAGCAACCACAAGCAUCGGACUCAUAGACCCCAAGAUACAUUCCAAAGGGAUCUAUCACAUGUUGUUGAACAUUAUCGCCGUGGCUCUCCAACCCAGGGUAGCACUCACAUGUGAAUGUACCCAUUCAUCAAAGAGGCACCAAAACGUGAAUGAAAACUCACGCUAGCUUACACAUACCACAUAUUAACACUCACACACACACACACACAUAUAUAUAUAUAUAUAU